Molecule: transfer RNA, 69 nt
Filed under: Oegoconia novimundi
Lineage: Eukaryota; Metazoa; Arthropoda; Insecta; Lepidoptera; Autostichidae
Description: tRNA-Gly
Source: RNAcentral
AUUUAUAUAAUAUAUUUAGUAUAUUUGACUUCCAAUCAAACAGUUUAAACAUUUUAUUUAAUAUAAAUA